UGCCGACAAUAGCCCGCACGCACUGAUGGUGGAAUUCGUUAAGACGGCGCAGAUUAGGAGCCCUGGUCGUCCAGGUCUCUGCUCCAUACAACAGCGCCGUAAGAACUAGGGCCACGUCGACACGACGUCGACAUUGGAGAGACAAGGAGCGGUUCCCGAAGACAGAUUCCCGCAAGCAACCAAACACUCGAGACGCCUUAGAAAUCCGUGACUGCACAUCAUGCGCACAAAGGCCAUCCCAGUGAAUCACGGACCCAAGAUAUGUGAAUUGGUCAACGGCAUCGAUGGUUCCAUUCCCGAGAUUAACGGGCUCACCGGUGGGAGUAUUGAUUGAUAUAGCUUUGGUUUUGUCAAGUUGACGGUUAGUCCCCAACCAGAAGCACAGGCCACAAACGUCUCCGCACACGGAUCAAAGGAUGCCUUGGACGUGGCGUACAGCGCAGAAUCAUCGGAAAACUGCGAACCCAUUACAGUGAGAUGCUGCAGACGCGACUUGGCAGUUCGGUCGCCAACCAGCUUUCUCCCAGCUUUGUACCGCAGCUCGACAACUGUAUCCGGACACAUAGACGCCAGUGGUCAAGUACCGCCAAGAAGUACAAAUUGAACAGGACAGGGGCCAGCGUGCAGCCCUGCGACAGGCCAUUGUUAACGUUGAUGUUGGACGUGAGGUCGCCAACCACCCGCACUUUCACCUGCAUGGACUCAUGCAGUGACUGAUGAUGUUCAGUAUGGUGGGCGGGACGCCGAGCUUCUGCAGGAGGGCCCAUAGCACCGGCCUCAGGAUCAAGUCAUAUGCCUUCCUCAGGUCAACAAACAGCGCGUAGCGUGGCACAUCAUUCUCAAUGGAUUUCUCCACCAACUGUCGAGCAACAUGGACCAUGAUGCAUACAGCCACGACCCCUACGGAAACUGCACUACAUGCGGGUUACUCCGAAACCGCUCGUCAUUGUUGGUGGAGGUUCGUAUGAGCUAUCAUGCGUCGACAGCAGCGGUCGUCCCGGUCUCCAGGACGUCACCUGGCAGUUCACGUUCCCAGCAGGCCGACCUUCUGCAUUGAGUUACCAGCCUAGGGGCCAGUAUAACGAGACGAUGGUCUUGAACAUCAACCAGAACCUGUAUACUCGCUUUCUGGCAGUUCAGGCGUCCUUUUUUCUGGAUUGCUACGUGGGUGCUCCACCGGCGACAUUCCCCACUUCAUAUUCUUCCAACAUCCAACUGUAUAAUGACUUGUGCCAGGAUCCGACGUACUGCACCCUCUUCGCUGAAUAUCCGAAGGGAUCGACGAACUGUACGCGCAGCAGUUCUGGUGACAUACUUGAAUUCGACUGUAUCUGUUCGCCUGGCGAUGCGGG
Long non-coding RNA from Sycon ciliatum, 1352 nucleotides. RefSeq lists it as uncharacterized. The transcript has 3 exons. The record is from RefSeq and is a predicted model, not a curated record. Lineage: Eukaryota; Metazoa; Porifera; Calcarea; Leucosolenida; Sycettidae.